Molecule: ribosomal RNA, 804 nt
Filed under: uncultured bacterium
Lineage: Bacteria
Description: bacterial SSU rRNA
Rfam family: Bacterial small subunit ribosomal RNA
Source: RNAcentral
AGAGUUUGAUCCUGGCUCAGAUUGAACGCUGGCGGAAUGCUUUACACAUGCAAGUCGAACGAUGAACCUUAGCUUGCUAAGGGGAUUAGUGGCGAACGGGUGAGUAAUAUAUCGGAACGUGCCUUGUAAUGGGGGAUAACUAGUCGAAAGAUUAGCUAAUACCGCAUACGCCCUGAGGGGGAAAGUAGGGGAUCUUCGGACCUUACGUUAUAAGAGCGGCCGAUAUCUGAUUAGCUAGUUGGUGGGGUAAUGGCCUACCAAGGCGACGAUCAGUAGCUGGUCUGAGAGGACGACCAGCCACACUGGAACUGAGACACGGUCCAGACUCCUACGGGAGGCAGCAGUGGGGAAUUUUGGACAAUGGGCGCAAGCCUGAUCCAGCCAUUCCGCGUGAGUGAAGAAGGCCUUCGGGUUGUAAAGCUCUUUCACAAGGGAAGAAAACUUACUUUCUAAUAAAGAGUGAGGCUGACGGUACCUUGAUAAGAAGCACCGGCUAACUACGUGCCAGCAGCCGCGGUAAUACGUAGGGUGCGAGCGUUAAUCGGAAUUACUGGGCGUAAAGCGUGCGCAGGCGGUUUGGCAAGUCAGAUGUGAAAUCCCCGAGCUCAACUUGGGAACUGCGUUUGAAACUGCCAGACUAGAAUAUGUCAGAGGGGGGUAGAAUUCCACGUGUAGCAGUGAAAUGCGUAGAGAUGUGGAGGAAUACCAAUGGCGAAGGCAGCCCCCUGGGAUAAUAUUGACGCUCAUGCACGAAAGCGUGGGGAGCAAACAGGAUUAGAUACCCUGGUAGUCCACGCCCUAAAC